Molecule: unclassified non-coding RNA, 262 nt
Filed under: uncultured fungus
Lineage: Eukaryota; Fungi
Description: sequence contains ITS1, 5.8S rRNA gene, ITS2 and 28S rRNA gene
Rfam family: 5.8S ribosomal RNA (bases 214-262)
Source: RNAcentral
GGAAGGAUCAUUAACGAGUCGUCAAACACGGGUUGUCGCUGGCCCCCAAACGGGGCACGUGCACGCUCUGUUUACACAUCCACUCACACCUGUGCACCCUCUGUAGUUCUGUGGAUCGGGAGACACCGUCUUCCUUCCGUGGCUCUACGUCUUUACACACACAACGUAGCGACGUCUUAUGGAAUGUUUUUCGCGUUCGACGCAAUACAAUACAACUUUCAGCAACGGAUCUCUUGGCUCUCGCAUCGAUGAAGAACGCAGC